This 219-nucleotide ribosomal RNA is filed under the name uncultured Eubacteriales bacterium. Its description in RNAcentral is "uncultured Clostridiales bacterium partial 16S ribosomal RNA". It matches the Rfam family "Bacterial small subunit ribosomal RNA", at positions 116 to 334 of the family's 1533-position model. Lineage: Bacteria; Bacillati; Bacillota; Clostridia; Eubacteriales. The record is from RNAcentral.
CGUGAGUAACCUGCCUUACACAAGGGGAUAGCCUCUGGAAACGGAGAAUAAUACCCUAUGACAUUACAGCCUCGCAUGAAGCAGUAAUCAAAGUGUUUAGCGGUGUAAGAUGGACUUGCGUCUGAUUAGCUAGUUGGUGAGAUAACAGCUCACCAAGGCAACGAUCAGUAGCCGGCUUGAGAGAGUGUACGGCCACAUUGGGACUGAGGCACGGCCCAG